RNAcentral lists this ribosomal RNA (460 nucleotides) under uncultured bacterium. RNAcentral's name for it is "partial 16S ribosomal RNA". It matches the Rfam family "Bacterial small subunit ribosomal RNA", at positions 338 to 795 of the family's 1533-position model. The record is from RNAcentral.
CCUACGGGUGGCUGCAGUGAGGAAUCUUGGUCAAUGGGCGCGAGCCUGAACCAGCCAAGUAGCGUGAAGGAUGAAUGCUCUACGGGUUGUAAACUUCUUUUAUAAAGGAAUAAAGUGAGGCACGUGUGCCUUUUUGUAUGUACUGUAUGAAUAAGGAUAGGCUAAGUCUGUGCCAGCAGCCGCGGUCAUACUGAGGAUCCGAGCGUUAUCCGGAUUUAUUGGGUUUAAAGGGAGCGUAGAUGGGUUGUUAAGUCAGUUGUUAAAGUUUGCGGCUCAACCGUAAAAUUGCAAUUGAUACUGGCAGUCUUGAGUACAGUUGAGGUAGGCGGAAUUCGUGGUGUAGCGGUGAAAUGCUUAGAUAUCACGAAGAACUCCGAUGGCGAAGGCAGCUUACUAAACUGCCACUGACAUUGAUGCUCGAAAGUGUGGGUAUCAAACAGGAUUAGAUACCCGAGUAGUC